CGAAUCCUUCCGUCCCAGA
This 19-nucleotide transfer RNA is filed under the name Anathallis rubens. RNAcentral's name for it is "partial tRNA-Gln". The record is from RNAcentral. Lineage: Eukaryota; Viridiplantae; Streptophyta; Magnoliopsida; Asparagales; Orchidaceae.